This 2554-nucleotide long non-coding RNA is filed under the name Capsicum annuum. Its description in RNAcentral is "long non-coding RNA (CANN_LNC020804)". The record is from RNAcentral. Lineage: Eukaryota; Viridiplantae; Streptophyta; Magnoliopsida; Solanales; Solanaceae.
UUUGGUGGUACAGAGGUGUUUAUUAAAAGUGUGCUUCAAAGCAUCCCUCGUUAUAUUUUGUCAGCAAUUGUUCCCUCUAAAAGUGUUAUCACAGAGUUCGAGAGAAUUUUUGCAAAAUUUUUUUAGUAGAAUAAGGAGUCGGGAAGAACCAGACAUUGAAUAAAAUGGAAUAGACUGACACUACCCAAAAAAGGAGGGAUAGGUUUCAGGACUCUUUUAGAGGUGGCUUAGGCUAUGCAUGCUGAACUAUGGUGGAGGUUUAGAACUCAAAAUAAUGUGUGGACCAAUUUUAGGUGAAACAAGUGUUGUAAAAAGCAGAUUCCAACUGUUGUACAUUGGAGGGGUGGGUCUCAAGUGUGGAAGGCCAUGUUGGAAAACAAAGACAAACUGGAAUAAUAUAUAUGGUGGGAGCCUAGAGGUGGAACAUCUACUGUGUGAUUUGAUGAUUGGACUAAUAAUACUGAUCCUUUAUUUAAACAACAGUCUCAGUUUUAAACUUGUCAUCCACUGUCUGAUAUUUCCAACUUCCUAAAUGAUGAAGGUUGGAACUAUGAUGCUAUGAAAGAUGAAGUGCCUGGUGAUGUAGUGGAACAUGUAAGAGAGUUCAUGAACUAUGUUUGUUUUGAAGAUAAAAUGGAUAAGCCUUGGUGGACAAGAAAUAGUACUGGCAGAUUCUCUGCUAAAUCUGCGUGGGAUUUACUAAGGCAUAGGAAAGAGAAGGAUGAAAAUAUGAAAGCAAUUUGGGUUAAAGGGUUACCUUUCAAAACCUGCUUUUUAAUAUGGAGAGUUUGGAAAGGUAUGAUUCUAGUUGCUGCUUUAUUGAAUAGCUAGAAUUCUGAAAAUUGUGUGUGCUGUGUUACACCUUCCAGAGAAAUAAUUUCACACCUUUUCUUUUCAGGGGAGAUUGCUGUAAAAGUUUAGAAUUAUUAUUCUACUGGGAUAGGGUUAAUAGAGUCAAGGUUAAACUUGAAACAAACUGUGAGAAUGUGGAGAAAUCAUGGUGGGAAUUACAGUGAAAGAACUGUGUAUAAUGUUGUGCCUUCUACUAUUAUAUUGUUCUUGUGUAAAAGAAGAAAUACAAUUAGACAUGGUGGAUCUUAUUCGAAAAGAAAGUUAUUCUGAGAGAUUAAUGAAACUAUUGUGAGAUUUAUAAAGCUUAAAAAUUUCAUGUUGAAGUGACAGGAAGAUAGUUGGUUAGGAUAGUUGAUGAACUGCAAGCAGUAAAGACGGCGACUUCUUUAAGUUGAUUUCAUGGUCUCCUCCACAAAGUGGCUGGCUAAAAGGGAACACAGAUGGAGCUUCAAAGGAAAAUCCUGGUCCUAGCUCUAUUGCCUUUUGUAUGAGGGAUGAGCAUGGAAACCUAGUGGUAGCUCAAGAAAUCAAAAUAAAAAACAUCACAAGUUUGGAGGCUGAGGCACUAGCUAUUAGGGAAUGUCUAAAAUAUUGCAGCACAAAUUUCAUAAAGCAAAUUAUUUUAGAAAGUGAUUCUUGGAUAAUGGUGUAGAUUUUGAACUCACACUGAGAAAUUCCAUGGAGGAUUACAAUAGUGAUUAAAUCCAUCAAGGAUUUGAUGGAAAUGAUGUCAGUUAGAGUGAUACGUUCCCGUAAAGAAGGUAACACUCUAACUGACUUUUUGGCUAACUUUGUGUUUAAUUAUGUAUGUAAUUUUCAAUGCAAUUAUGAGGAGCAAUUAUCAAGUUAAGGCGGAGCUAUUUUUGCACUGCACAAAGCUGGAAUUCCUAAGAUCAGAAAAAUGGUACAAGAAGAUACAAAUCACUAACAUGCUCAAAAAAUUGCAAAAUUAAUUCAAAAUCAGCAGAUGAAAAGCAACAAUGGCAGAAACAUACUUCAACAACAAACAACAUGCAAAGUAAUUUAAAGGCAAGGAUUAAUAGGAACAAGAACCUGAUAGCAGCAAUUAACGUUCUUCAGUUUAGCUCAAUACAGUUGAGACGCUACUCUGGAAAAUUAGAUGCAACCUAGAUUGAAGCCAGAAUAGAGGUGUAAAUAGAUUGUAAAAUAUAUAAAUCAGGGAUUGACAUUGAGAAUGAUUAAAUCUGCAGUUGAAAAUGAGUUCUUUUGAAUGCAACAACUACAUCCAGCGAGAUUUUUGAAUGUCAAUGCAUUCAAACAGUAGAAAAAUUGGAUCUAAAUAUGCAAUCCCUUGAUAUAUAUAGUAAUAAUCUAUAACACUAAACAACUUAAAUCUCUUAUUUUUUCUUGAAUCUAAUCUUUAGUAAGAUGGUGGUAUUAGCUUCUUUGAAGCUCAACCCAUUAACUACGGAUUAAAUGAAAAGGAAAAGAGGAACUUACCUUCAAGAAAUCAGGUGACAAGCUGGAGACAUGGUCAAGAGCAUGGGAGUUAAGGAAGUCGAUGGUGGAGCCAUGGAUUCCGAUGAAGGCGGCGGCCGAUUUGAUUUCCUCUUUUGACUGAUCAGACCCUUUGUCUUAUUUGGGUUUGUUUUUUGUAUUUGAUUUGCAUGGACUCGGGUCCUCUCUUUAUGGGCUGAUCUUUGAUUCAUUUGUUUUUGUUUAUAAAAUGAGCUAAAAGAUC